GUCUCCGGCCAUACCACCCCGCCCGCACCGACCUCCUCUGGUGUCAGAGCUAAGCGGGGUUGGACUGCCCAGUAUGGUCUAACGUACUUCUCUGCAGGGUGCUAGCAGGCGAGGAGC
Molecule: ribosomal RNA, 117 nt
Organism: Vulpes vulpes (red fox)
Lineage: Eukaryota; Metazoa; Chordata; Mammalia; Carnivora; Canidae
Source: Ensembl